GGGCAAGUAGUGUAAUGGUUAUCGCGCCUGUUUCGCAUCCUCUAGGAACGUGAACGUUUACAGGAGGUUCGGAGUUCAAUUCUCCGCUUGUCCA
Non-coding RNA from Favolaschia claudopus, 94 nucleotides. Lineage: Eukaryota; Fungi; Basidiomycota; Agaricomycetes; Agaricales; Mycenaceae. The record is from the annotation of a GenBank genome assembly.